CCAGGAUAGAUGCUUCACCGGAACCUUGACAGGAUUGGGAUCUCGGUAGACGUUGACAGUGCGCGAUUUGCAUGGUUCGGGCAAUGGUGCUGGAUCCAUAUUCUCAAAGUAAUUCUCAUAGAUGUUGACAGCAUUGUUCUGAUCGCACCGUCUGCUCUGGAUCAUGCAUAUUGAUGUCCUUUGGCCAGCCGCCCUCAUUGUGCGUAAUGCCUGUGCUCUUGUAUGUGGCACGUUCGGUAUUUGCCACACUAAGCGAUGUCUGGCCAGCAUAUUGUGUAACGCGGUCCACGGGAUUCUUUAGAAUGUAGCUCUUGACCAACUCUGGAUUGGAGUUUUCGCUGAAUAUCACCUCAUCCUUAUCCUCGAAAUGAACACGUGUCCCAAAUGUGCGACGCUCCUUUUUAAAUAUGUAUUCCAUAUUUAUGCAGUUGAAUUUAUUUUGAAUUUUAUGUUGAGUUACUCGUCGAAAAAAUUGCUUAGGAUAAACAUGCGGAAGGACUUUCUCUGACUCCUUGGCAACCAGGAAAUGCUUUAUCAAUAUUUUCUGGGGUUGUCUAGACUUUUGUUAGUU
Drosophila sulfurigaster albostrigata is the source of this 571-nucleotide long non-coding RNA. RefSeq lists it as uncharacterized. NCBI's taxonomy places the organism in Eukaryota, Metazoa, Arthropoda, Insecta, Diptera, Drosophilidae. The record is from RefSeq and is a predicted model, not a curated record. The transcript has 2 exons.